This is a long non-coding RNA of Antechinus flavipes (yellow-footed antechinus), 7199 nucleotides long. RefSeq lists it as uncharacterized. The transcript is spliced from 3 exons. Lineage: Eukaryota; Metazoa; Chordata; Mammalia; Dasyuromorphia; Dasyuridae. The record is from RefSeq and is a predicted model, not a curated record.
AUGAUAGAGGCCUCUCAAGUAACUCAUUAUUGAUACACUCUGUACUCUUCUAAAAGGGAAGAUGAUAACCAUAGCUCCUAAGAACUUUAUCUUUGCUAGGCAGGUAGAAGCAUUGGACCUAGAAAGAGGUUUUGGAACUGAACCAUCUGGACGGGGAUGAUGUAAAAUAGAUAGGUGAGAAAUAUGGAUGCCUUGGGAGAUGCUAGAAGGGAGAUAAAUAAUGGAGGAAAUGAUCCCAUAAAAUAAGCAUUCAAGGAAGAGCUUCUGCCUUGGAGUGGAAAAUGAUGAGGAGGAGAGUGACCAAUUCUGGAACCUCCCUCACAUCUCAAUUGGUUGAAAGAGGGGAAAUAUCUAUAUCUGUAUUUAUAUGUACUUCUUCCAUGGGUCAAAAAAAUCUAUUUUACCCUAAAGGUAAGUAGGCAAAUGGGAGAGGAGAAGGAAAAAGUGGUGAUAAACAUUGGGCAGUUAAAAGAAUGCAGUAGUCAUGUGCAAAAUAGAAACUAGCGGAGGAAUGGAAUAAAAAGAGAGAAAGAAGGAAAAACAGAAUCAGCUACAACAUGACUGUGUUAAUGGGAUGAAAAAAAGCAAGAGGGCAGUAAAAUGAAUUAGAAACCAGACUUCAGACUGUGUUUGUUUUUUCUUUCUUUAUUUGUAUUUUGAAUAGAAACAUAUUUGAAAGAAAGAGAGAGCCAGAGUUAAAAUAGAGGGCUAAAGCAGAAACUUUUAUACCUCAUAUGAAAGAUAAAAUAUAAAGAAAGCAAUCAUGACAUCAGAAAAAAAAUGCAGAGCAAAAUUAGGCCUCAGGGAAAGGGAUUAGUGUGCAACCUAAUUCUUGUUUAGGGGAACCACAGUCAAUUCAGUAUGAAAAGAGGAUUCAAAUUCUUAAAGGAAAAGUUUAAUGCAUUACAGGAAGAAAAAGACAAUCAAACUAUAGUGGCAGGGGACCUCAACUUUUCCUGUGUGACCUAGACAAAUACAACCAUAAAAUAAAUAAGAAAAAAGUGGAGGAAAGUAAUAAAAUUUAGAUGACUUAGAAAACUUAGAUAUAAAAGACCUCUAGAGAAAACUCAAUAGAAGCUGAAUGUACUACAGACAGAUGUUGCUUUAUUUUAAUUCUUAUUAUGCAAAUUGGAUUUUAUGCCAGGAAUUCUCCCAAACCACCUCUAUACUGGGAUCUCAUUCAGCUCCUGCCCUUCAAUUCUGGUACUCUGUGGCCUCCUAUCACCAAUGCCCCCCCCCAAAAAACCUUUAAAAACCCUUCUCCAGCAGAAAGCAGAACAGACCUGCAGAGAGACAGCCGCCACCACCACUGAUGGAUCCGGGCUUGCCUUAAGACCUCCAGUACUGAUGCAGGACCACUUGCUUUCAAUGCACCCACCCACCUGAGAGUCUGGCCCCUGCAUUUGGGUGUUUUGUCCAUCAUUGGAGCACCACAUCUGUGCCAUGCCACAGGUUUCUAUGUCUGUGCUUCCUGACAUGUUCUUCCUAUCAGUUCCAGCCAGGCUCUCCUGGGGCUGGCCCCUGCAAGAAAGUGUUUCUCCUGCACUUGAUUCUUUGUAUCUAGCCUUUAUGUGUCAUUGACCCAUGUGCUGGCUCCACAGGGGCAGUCUCCUUCCUGCCUCCCUUGUAGCUUUUUACACAUCCGUGGGUAAAAUCACAUUAUGUAAAGGAUCUGCAGAAUGAUUCAUUGAAAAAAGUUAUGGACUAUGUUGUCGUUUCUUCCCCCCCCCCCCCCCCCACAAACUUCUCCCUAAGUUUUUCGAUUUAGCUGCAUUGAUUUAGUUUGUGGAAAACCUUGUUAAUUUUAUGUAAGCCAGAUUGUCCAUGUUGCUUCUUUUGAACCUGACUGUCGUUUGCUUGGUCGGGAUUCCUUUCCCAUCUUCUGUGCUUCUCUGUUUAUGAUAUUAGUCAGUAUGUCCAAGGAAUAUACCCAUUUUCAGUUUCACUCUGUCUUUUCUGUGAAAACUUUUUCCAACCUAAGAUUCUGUUACACUACUUGCCAAUUUUCCUAGCAGCUUUUAUCGAAUUGUGAAUUUUUCCAUAGCUGGGAUUAUUAGCUUUUUCAAACAAAUGGAUGAUGUGCUCUUUUGCUCUUGUAUGUUGUGUGCCUAAUGUGUUUCUAUGGUCAGUCUUUCUGUUUCUUACUCAAUAAUAUAUUUGUAAUGAUACUGGCUUGCUAUUGUAGUUUUAUGAUCUGGUACUGCUAUGCCCCUUUCCUCCCCAAUUUUUCCAUUAAUUUUCUUGAUAGUCUUAAUUUUUGUUCAUCCAGACGAAUUUUGUUAUCCUUUUUUAAUGUUCCCAACAGAUUCUCUGGUAUUUUGAUUUGUAUUGCAUUAUGCUAGUAAAUUAAUAUAGGCAGCAUUAUCAUUUUUGGCCUGGCGAUGAACAAUUCAUAUUUCUCCACUUAUCUAGAGCUGCUUUUAUUUGUGUAAAAAGUGACCUGAGUUCAUGGCGUUGCUAUCUAGGUUUUGGCAGGUGGACUUCUACUUAUUUCAUACUAUAUAUAAUGUCAAUGGAAUUUGUCUUUUUAUACCUUUCUGUUAGAUUUUAUUGAUAAUUUAUAUGAUACUGAUAACUUCCUUGGGUUCAUUUACACUCUCCUGUCUUGCUGAUAUUGGUAAACAUUUCAUUUAAGUUUUCAUUGAUUCUGUAGCUUUCUCUAAGGAAACAAUCAUAUCAUCUGUAAAAAAACAUUUUUUAAUUUAUUGUUUGCCUCUUUGCUGUUUAUACUUUGCAUUUCUUUUCUUUAGAGUUACUGCUAUAGCAAGCAUUUCUGGUACAGUAUGGAAUUAUAGUGAUGACCACGAAUAUCUGUAAUGUCUCCAAAAGAAAAACUUUUGAUUCUUAUCGAAAAUUAUUUAAUUGCAAGGUCAGCAGAUUACCAUUAAAUAAGGUCAGCUAAGACCUCAGUGGUGUAUGAUAAACUGGAAGGUCACAGAGCUUAUUUUAUAACACAAAAUGAGCCAUGAUUCAUCAAUUUUACAGAGGUCUAGGGAGAUUGACAACAGUCAGCUGCUGGACAUGUCAGGAGUGUAAUGAGGAGAUUUUAGGGAAAGGUAACUGUUCAAUUUAAUACUUCAUUGGCUUAGAAUUUAUUUUAUCGUUCUGUGAAUUUUUUUGAAAAGUCUUCUUCAGUGUUUCUUUAAGGAUUUCUGCUAUGGAUCUGUUUAGCUCACUGAAAAGGAGUCACUUACUAAAAGAUGGUUAUUUUAUUUCUUUUAAGAUAUAUUUAGGCUCCUUCUAACUUAUCUACUAUUACAUCUUAUUAAAAGAUUCAUUCAGUGAAUCUAAUUGGAAAUUAAGACAAAGGAUAUUUAUGGGAAAGGAAAUCUCUAACGUGAUACUAAAGUAAAUUCAUGUUAUCAAUAUUAAUUGAUUUAGAGAUUAUCCUUUUCAUAUCCUCUCUUUACUUUUGUUUUUAUUGCAAACUCUUCUGUCUUGCCUCUAUUACAAAUAACACUAGUUCUUUAUUUUAGACAGAUAAUAUUUACUGGUUUUAGGAAAGCCCCAUUUAUUCCUAUGUUUCUUGUGUUUUGCAUAGUAAUAGGUUUUGUAUUUUGGUGGUUUAAAAUUUUUGCAUCAAUAUUCAUUAUAGAAUUUGGUCUCUACUUUUGUUUCUGUAUGGAUUCAUUUUAGGCAUCAAGGCAAUAUUUAUAUGAUAUAAUGCAUUUGGUAGGACCCAGUCAUUGUCUGUUUCUUGAACCAUUUAGACGGGUUGGAAAUAAUUGUAUUUACAUGGUUCUAAGAAGUUGCUUUUAAAUCCAUUUUGUCCUCAGGGUUCACUUAGAAAGAACAUUGGGGAAGAUUUAAUAGCAUCACUAACUCCCAUAUUAGAUUUAAAAAAAAAUCCAAAGUCUUUUGUGAUCCCAGCACUGACCAAGUUGGGGCCACAGAUAUAAAGCUAGAUAACUAAAGUUGUGGAACUGCUAAAAAAAAAAAACACCUUAACAGAUUCUGGAGAUUUUGCUAUCACUCAUUAAGGAGAUUGGCAAUGAGUCGUUUUAAGAUUGCAGGUAAGAGCUCCUGAGCCUGUGGGGUAGUUCCCAUUGUGAAACAUCUUUGUAAUUUCUGAGAUACCAGCCUGAAGAAUUUCUAUUAAGCUAAAAUAAGGAUGACAUCUUAUAAAAGUGUAAAAAGUUUUUAAAAGCAGUUGACAAAUUAAGAUCAUCAUAGCCAAUGUUCCUCUGUUUCCUCAUCUUCUCAGAGCAGAUUAAGAAAAGAGAAUGCUGGAGAAUUGUAGGAAAACUUGAAUUCUGCCUCAUCUGGCAGAAAAGGGGAGGCAGCAACUGCAGCGGGGCCCUAGAAACCCUGGCCCAGCAUCUCCCCAAACCAGCAGCUGCAGAUGGGGUUGGGGGGAGGGUCAGGCCCGAAGGCCAGCACUCUCUGAGCCCUAACAUUUAUCUCAAUCCACUAAUCCAUCUAGGUGUCCCUGCUUAUAAGUUGCGGGAGUUACAGCUAAGCCAACGUGUCUGUUAUUUAUGAACAUUGUGAGAUGCUUAAUUCAGAUAUUUGUCCUUCUUGCCAUAGCGUUAAAUGUAAAAUUGGUGACUGCUGCUUAUUCUGAGCACUUGGCUCUAGGUAUGAAAGUAUGCUCCCCAAUUAAUGUAUGCCCCCAGCCCCUGCCAGGAUGGGGGAGGUGUCACAGAGCACAGCCCACAGCAGGCCUGAGGCUAGAGGGGGUGUGCAUGGAGGGGCAAGAAGCUCAGCCCCUUCUCUGGGUCUUUGUCUAUUCCCCUCAAUUUGUAAACUGGGUAAGGUCCUUGACACCAUAUUGUGAGAGGGUAUAUAGGCCAUCAGCCCUGGAAAUACUUGUUAUGGCUGAACAAAGUCCCAAACAAGGAGCGGGAUUAAUGAGAAUCUACAGAUCUUUUUGUGAUACAGAAGAGUUUUCUAAUGACUGGGCUUUAUGCCAGGAUUAGUUUAAGGAUGAGAAGAAAACCAAGUGAAAAAUGUUAAGUGAAAUUUUUACGUAGGAGCAUGCUGGCAAACCUUGUCAUUGUCACAAGGCUAACUUAAUGGGUUGUACUGAGUCACCUUACAGAGGUUCCCACUGUUUAAAGAGAUGUGGGGAAGAGGAGUCUAAGUUUAGAAACUGGUGCUAAGGGAAGUGAGCAGAAGCAAGAGAACACUGUACACAGUAUCAACAAGGUUAUGUGAUGAUCAACUGGGAGGGACUUGGCUCUUUUCAACACUGAGGUGAUUCCAGGCGAUUCCAAUAAGCUUGGGAUGGCAGGGGCCAUCUGCAUCCAGAGAGAGGACUACAAAGGCUGACUCUAGAGCAGAGCACAGUAUUUUUCACCUGUGUUGUUGUUUGGUUGCUUGUUUUUGUUUUUGUUUUUCCUUUUCUCAAUUUUUUUUCCUUUUUGUCUAAUUUCCUCUGUGUGUGCAACAUGAUGAGUAUCUUUAGGAUACUGAUCCUGACACAUGUUCAACCUAUAUCAGAUUGCCGGCUGUCUUAGGGAGGAUAGAGAGAAACAUUUGAAACGCAAGGUUUUCUGAAGGUGAAUGUUGGAAACUAUCUUUGCAUGUCCUUGGAAAAAUAAAACAGGAUAAAAAGUGUUUUCUGUAAUGGUCGAACUGAAAACCAUCUUUUAGAUAUCACACUAUGUUGUGGGUUUUCUGUGAUUAGUCUCGCAGUGUUACCUAUGGAAGCUUACGGGCAAUAAGUGUUAUUUCGGGUAUGUGAUGUUUGAGAGCUGAAGCCCCGAGAAUGAAACUUGCUAUUGGAGACAGAAUCUCUUAGGACUCGCUGAUGCUGCUUUGAGCUCUGAAUUCAGGUAUGAUUGUCUGAUGGCCCAUCAAGCCAGUCAGUCCUCAUUGGAAAGAGCUGUCACAGCCUACUCAGAGGGGAGUGAUCCUGCACACUCAGAGGUGGAGGUCUGCAUCUGGCAAAAGCUGAGAGGACAAGCUUUGGCUUCAUUAUUGUGAGAACUUCCCAUCCUGUUUCCCAGCUGUGUUCUUUGACUCGGAAGGUCUCCCAAUUUACUUUUCCCAGUCUGUGUAUGAGAUAGAAUGGUGACCACAUGAUUGCUUGUAGACUGUGACUCUUACCUCAAGUCCAACAGACCCAAGAAUGCUUUAUUCCGACAGCCGUGUGCCUUUAGACUUAAGCCAGAAGGACCAGUUUGAUACUGUUAUAAUCGUGUUCUUGCUUUUCCUUUUAUAGCAGUUUUCCAUAAUGAGAGCAAGUGAUCAGUAGAAAAAAUGAGCACAAUACCACCUCUUUGCUUCUGAAGGGGGUCUCUGUGCUCUGGCCAAUACUUCCUGGUGCGUUGUCAUCCACACCCUCCAACAAAUUGCACUAUGGGCCAACCGAUCCUCAAGAAGACAAGUGUUAAUCAGAUUUCAGAGGGCCCUACAGGACAGCUAUCUGUCAGCACCUCAGCCUCUGGAAGUGUGAUCCCACCUGUGGAUGCUGCUCUUCCCACCUGUGGAUGCUGCUCCUCCCACCUGUGGAUGCUACUCCUCCCACCUGUGGAAGGUGCUGGGCUGCAAUUCCCAUCCAGCUCCACUCACUCAUGACUAAGCCUUUAAGCAGGAGCAGGUCUAUGCCCCUUAUCAGCUGGAAACAGUUAUGGAAAAUGAGACAUUCAUUCCUGGCCCCAAAGGGAUUUGGGUCACAGGUCUUUGAGGGGAAUCAUGGAGUGUUUGCUGCUGCCGCAGCCCCAGCAGUUCUACCACUUUCUCUCAGAGACUUCAUUGGAAUAAAAGGACCCUUUGCUUUUUCCAUGUAUAAGGCGCUGCCCCCGCUCCGGAACAAAAGGGUUUUUACCCUUUUCACAGGGACCUUGCUCAUGCAUGCCCGACCUGGGAUUGUAAAAGAAGUGCAAAAUCUACUGAGCUCAUCCAACUUGCUGCCAAAUUCUCCUAUUUUUUGCUUCCUUUCCCUUCUCUGAAUGAACCCUCACAUCACUCUGCUGGGUGUCCCCACCCCCUUAAAGAGGAGGUUCCCAGUGUGGUUUACCCUUUACUUAAGCAAAUGGCCAAAUCAGUGUCUUUGCUUGAUUUGAGGUGGUUUGAGCCUGACUUCUUUCAGAGAAGCUACCAGAAACCAUUGCCCAGCACCCCCGAUCUUCAGUGUACCCCAGCGUUGAGUCUUUUCUCACAAAAGGUCCCAACUUCCUCCUUACUAAAUGUGAGUCCCACUAGGGCACUGUGCCUGAUUUAUGGCAUCAUAAUAAAACGUUUUGCCCCUUGAA